Molecule: ribosomal RNA, 1415 nt
Filed under: Leuconostoc holzapfelii
Lineage: Bacteria; Bacillati; Bacillota; Bacilli; Lactobacillales; Lactobacillaceae
Description: bacterial SSU rRNA
Rfam family: Bacterial small subunit ribosomal RNA
Source: RNAcentral
CUAUACAUGCAAGUCGAACGCGCAGCGAAAGGUGCUUGCACCUUUCAAGCGAGUGGCGAACGGGUGAGUAACACGUGGAUAACCUGCCUCAAGGCUGGGGAUAACAUUUGGAAACAGAUGCUAAUACCGAAUAAAACUUAGUAUCGCAUGAUACAAAGUUAAAAGGCGCUACGGCGUCACCUAGAGAUGGAUCCGCGGUGCAUUAGUUAGUUGGUGGGGUAAAGGCUUACCAAGACGAUGAUGCAUAGCCGAGUUGAGACACUGAUCGGCCACAUUGGGACUGAGACACGGCCCAAACUCCUACGGGAGGCUGCAGUAGGGAAUCUUCCACAAUGGGCGCAAGCCUGAUGGAGCAACGCCGCGUGUGUGAUGAAGGCUUUCGGGUCGUAAAGCACUGUUGUAUGGGAAGAAAUGCUAAAAUAGGGAAUGAUUUUAGUUUGACGGUACCAUACCAGAAAGGGACGGCUAAAUACGUGCCAGCAGCCGCGGUAAUACGUAUGUCCCGAGCGUUAUCCGGAUUUAUUGGGCGUAAAGCGAGCGCAGACGGUUGAUUAAGUCUGAUGUGAAAGCCCGGAGCUCAACUCCGGAAUGGCAUUGGAAACUGGUUAACUUGAGUGUUGUAGAGGUAAGUGGAACUCCAUGUGUAGCGGUGGAAUGCGUAGCUAUAUGGAAGAACACCAGUGGCGAAGGCGGCUUACUGGACAACAACUGACGUUGAGGCUCGAAAGUGUGGGUAGCAAACAGGAUUAGAUACCCUGGUAGUCCACACCGUAAACGAUGAAUACUAGGUGUUAGGAGGUUUCCGCCUCUUAGUGCCGAAGCUAACGCAUUAAGUAUUCCGCCUGGGGAGUACGACCGCAAGGUUGAAACUCAAAGGAAUUGACGGGGACCCGCACAAGCGGUGGAGCAUGUGGUUUAAUUCGAAGCAACGCGAAGAACCUUACCAGGUCUUGACAUCCUUUGAAGCUUUUAGAGAUAGAAGUGUUCUCUUCGGAGACAAAGUGACAGGUGGUGCAUGGUCGUCGUCAGCUCGUGUCGUGAGAUGUUGGGUUAACUCCCGCAACGAGCGCAACCCUUAUUGUUAGUUGCCAGCAUUCACUUGGGCACUCUAGCGAGACUGCCGGUGACAAACCGGAGGAAGGCGGGGACGACGUCAGAUCAUCAUGCCCCUUAUGACCUGGGCUACACACGUGCUACAAUGGCGUAUACAACGAGUUGCCAACCUGCGAAGGUGAGCUAAUCUCUUAAAGUACGUCUCAGUUCGGACUGCAGUCUGCAACUCGACUGCACGAAGUCGGAAUCGCUAGUAAUCGCGGAUCAGCACGCCGCGGUGAAUACGUUCCCGGGUCUUGUACACACCGCCCGUCACACCAUGGGAGUUUGUAAUGCCCAAAGCCGGUGGCCUAACCUUCGGG